This 57-nucleotide transfer RNA is filed under the name Oceanospirillaceae bacterium. RNAcentral describes it as "tRNA-Phe". It matches the Rfam family "tRNA", at positions 8 to 62 of the family's 71-position model. From Rfam's summary of the family: Transfer RNA (tRNA) molecules are approximately 80 nucleotides in length. Their secondary structure includes four short double-helical elements and three loops (D, anti-codon, and T loops). Lineage: Bacteria; Pseudomonadati; Pseudomonadota; Gammaproteobacteria; Oceanospirillales; Oceanospirillaceae. The record is from RNAcentral.
UAGCUCAGUUGGUAGAGCAGAGGAUUGAAAAUCCUCGUGUCGGUGGUUCGAUUCCGC